GUGAAUACAAACGCCUGGGUGUCUCUGCUUCGGCAAGCCCCUCGCACCCUUCACAUCCAUAACACCUGUGCACCGUAAGAUGACUCUAGGGCUUUGGCCUCUGGGUUGUCUGACCUUUUUCACAAACAAUUAUAUGUAACAAAUGUAGUCUUAUUAUAACAAAAUA
This 166-nucleotide unclassified non-coding RNA is filed under the name uncultured fungus. RNAcentral describes it as "sequence contains ITS1, 5.8S rRNA gene". The record is from RNAcentral. Lineage: Eukaryota; Fungi.